Molecule: non-coding RNA, 651 nt
Filed under: Pan troglodytes (chimpanzee)
Lineage: Eukaryota; Metazoa; Chordata; Mammalia; Primates; Hominidae
Source: RNAcentral
GAGGUGGGCAAGUUAGUUGCUCCAAAAACAAGAUAAAGUGAUUGAGUUAUUUUCUCAAGCGGGAGUCGGAGUUUAUCUGCUCUGAGAGCCCCAGCAGCUACUAUUAAUAAGUGUCUGGAAUAUGUUCCUGGCAUUUCACCUACCCUCUCUCCAAUCCUUCCAAGAAACUCACAAAGCAGGGCUUUUUCUUGAACUUCUCUUCCUCACAACAGUUAAAUCAUCCAUUUAAAGAUGUCAGACAACCUCCGUGUUCUAAGAACUAUUUACUAAGCUCUAUGGAGACACAGCUACGAGCACCACAUGCUGGACCCCUGAAUAUGGAGGGCCAACUACACUAGAAACACACACACUAGCUGAGAAAGAUGGUGGCUUAAGGGGAAAAAGAAAGAAAGGGGAGUAGAAAUAGAAGAAAAGAAAUGAGAAGGAGAAAACAAAGGAGAAGGAAAAGGAGAAAAGAAAAAUGUAGGAAAAAGUUGUAAAGAUCACCAGUUUGUAGUAGAGGCCCACUCUCGGAAGGUUUGGUAAAAAUUUGUUUUGAAUCAUAAUGUUGGCUUUAUUGGCAUGUUGAAACCAUUUACCUCUGUAAUUUUCCAUUUGUUUUCCUUUACAACUACCACUCCUCCUGCCUGAUAAAUAAAUACCAUUGCAAGA